CUCAUUCCUUAGGCUCAGGUGGUCCCAGCACAGCUGUGGUCAGUACAAGAGGAGCCAAUAUCACCAUACCAGGGACAACAACACAAGAACCAGGGAGGCGACCGCUGACGUUCUGGGCCAUCAUUAUCAUCUGCUUAACUGUGUCUGGACUCUUCAUAGGAGGAUAUGUUGGGUGCUGUUUCCUCUGGAAAAAGAAUAUUCUCUAAGUCAAGGCUUAGUCUUUCCCUGAAAUCUUGUUCCCUAUUUUGAACACGGAGACAAAAAUAUUGAAAAAUGAAGGAAACUCUUCUGGCGGAGGGGAGCUGAACCCAGAUUUGCGAUUCACCAAGUUUGUUGAACUGUGUGACAAGGACGAUUGUUGGAUCUUCAACCCAAAUGUUUUCAUGAUCAAAUGUUAAAUCCUGGAAUAAAAAAAUUCUUA
Thamnophis elegans (Western terrestrial garter snake) is the source of this 421-nucleotide long non-coding RNA. RefSeq lists it as uncharacterized. NCBI's taxonomy places the organism in Eukaryota, Metazoa, Chordata, Lepidosauria, Squamata, Natricidae. The record is from RefSeq and is a predicted model, not a curated record. The transcript is spliced from 3 exons.